GGGACCCCCCCAGCCCCCGGCGGCCCCAGCCGCCGCUGCCGGGCCGGGCAGGGAAGCGCCACCGACCGCUGUGCGCCAUCUUUACUGUGAGGCGACGAGCCAGAGAGCGGGGCCGGGCCCCACCCCGCGCCCUGGAUAGAGCUUCGCCGGCCAGCAUAGGUGCUGCAUAACGGCGGAAACCAUGCAGGUUGCGGGGCCUCGCCAUCUCGCCGCCCGGGCGCCUGAGUAAGCCAUGCGAGACGGAUGCUUGCCCGCCAUAACGCUGGGUGAUAUGCAGGGCCCUGGGCCCGAGACCCAGCGCGGCCCCCCGUGCUGGAUAGCUCGGCCUCCCGCCGCCGCAGCCCCGCAUAGCUCGGAGGACCAUACCCGCGCGGGGGAACCUCGCGAGCGAGCCCCGGAACCUGGCUGCCGCAUAACGGAGACGCACUAAUCUCCUGCAGCCUCCAGGAAAAGGAGCUCCCAGCAGCAUCUUCUGAGCCUGUCUCAACCUUAUAUUCCAAAACGCCUCUAACUGUUUACAACACAGCUGUAGCCAGUAAACCCAGGCUGUGCUCAACAAAACAGGAAGACCCCACAACUCAGCACAGGUGUGUCAGGGAGAAAUAAACUCAGCUGCUACUGCCCAGGGCCACGCCAUGCAGGAGCGACGAGGCGGCGCUGCGAGGACACGCUGCGAUCAGGACCCAGGAGAGGAGCAGCGGGAAACAGGACCCCACGGGCAGCCCAGCAAGGCAGGGUGACAGCGGGAGCGGGACUCACCGGCGGCGGCCCGGGGGGUCGGGAAGCGGGAGCGGGACUCACCGGCGGCGGCCCGGGGGGUCGGGAAGCGGGA
Molecule: long non-coding RNA, 832 nt
Organism: Colius striatus (speckled mousebird)
Lineage: Eukaryota; Metazoa; Chordata; Aves; Coliiformes; Coliidae
Exons: 3
Source: RefSeq, a predicted model, not a curated record